Molecule: long non-coding RNA, 1444 nt
Organism: Quercus lobata
Lineage: Eukaryota; Viridiplantae; Streptophyta; Magnoliopsida; Fagales; Fagaceae
Exons: 5
Source: RefSeq, a predicted model, not a curated record
UGCAUUUUAAAAUCCUAGCACUAUAUUUAUUGUUGUUAGCUCAUUCUUAGAAGUUAACAAAACUUAAGCUAAAAAUAAAUGAAAAAUUAAGAAUUACUAACUACCAAGAACUUAUGUUGUUAUUUGGGCAUUAAUUUGUCAGCCUUAAUGCACCCCUUUAUCAAUAACCACCAUUACUUGCUCUUCUUGACCAAUCCCAAAACAGGGGAAACAAAGAACAUGAUAUUGCUGAAAAUAAAGCGAGGCUAAGAAAAAAAUUCUUCUUCCGAUACUAAUAACAAAUUCCAAGACCUGCACAAUUAUAAGGUCACGCAUGGCAAUUCUUAAGGUAUAAGAGCUAGCCACUCCUAGUUUUUGAAUCAGAGGAAUUUGAUGGAAUGGAAGCUUUUCCUGAAUGUUUUGGACCUUUCAACUGUUCAGCUAUAGAAUCUUCACAAUUGCAAGAUCUAAAUAUAUCUUCCCACGGCACACGAGCCAUGAAAUGCCUCACCUUAUUAGAAGAACUUAUUUGUCAUUGCCCCUAAUUAAAGGAAAAAUGUGCAAAGGGGGGCAGUGCAGAGUGGUCCAAGAUUUGCCAUAAUCCAAAUUUCUGCAUCAAUGAAAUGGAUAUGGAAGCAGUGGGAGUGGCCCGUUAGUAGAAUAUUGUUGAUAGUCCAGGAGUCACAAUAGAGGGAAUUCUAAAUUGAUUCCAUUGCAAUUAUGUCAUCAAAAGUUUCAAAGCAAUAGGUGAGGCCAUGGAUUUUCCUGUGCUUAUGGAAUAGUUGCUUCUAUCAAAUGACUUCAACAGCUUAUUGGAUCAUGCGUUAGACAUCUAUAGUGACCAUUCUGAUUGCACUAGAUCAUGCAAUUGUUCGGCGGAUAGAUCCCACUCACUUACAUAUAAGGAAAAUGCAAUUGAGACAAUGUCUAUUGUUUCCAGCUGGAGGAACAAUUUAUUAUAAUUGCUAGCAGACGUACAAGGAGGAAGCUAGAAUGGGGGCAGCUUUGAGUAUGAAUUUGACAAAUUCGAGGCAGUUGGCCCUAAGUGGAGGAGAGCUAUGCAUAACAAAAGGCAAACCUCAAGUGUAUCCAAGCUUUGUUAAAAAGUCUGCUUCCUUGUUCCCUUCACAGUAGGAAUGAUUUAGCUGGAGAUGGGGAUAUCAAGCUUGUGAGGGGCCAGCAUAAAACUUUGUUGAAGUAACAGUAUCAGUGAAGUCAUGGAUGUAUGGAUGAUCCUAUAAUAAAAUUCGUUCCUUUUCUUAAUUAAAAAAAGUGCUAGUUGAGCUACUAAGCUCCUGGCAUGUUGGUGAAUUGUUUGUUUAAUGUAGAAGUGGAAUUAAUUUAUGACUCUGCUGAUAAUCUGGUUGAUAUGAACAAAUUUGGGUGAAGAGUUGGAUGGGGAAAACCAAGAAUCUCAUGAGGACUAGACCAAUUUGUAACUUUACCUUUCUUCCAACCUUUGGUC